UGUCACAUGAUCCGCGUAACUCCCAUGGAGCUCUCAGAUGAGAGGCUUCCCAAAACCCGAAGGAAGGUGAUGGUGGUUUCCUCACAUCCUCUGCUGCCCCCCCACCCCCCGCCCACGCUCUCUUAUGUUUCUUGUACUUUGUCAGGUCUGCUUCCUUUUCAGACCCUACUUAGGUUGCAGCUUUUACCUGGAGAAAACAUCAUGGAUUCCUCACCUAUAGCAAGAGUGAUGAUGAAUCUUCCUCAAGAGAUCUCCAAAGUGUAAAGUGAAACAGUG
This 276-nucleotide long non-coding RNA is filed under the name Cricetulus griseus (Chinese hamster). RNAcentral describes it as "lncRNA (ENSCGRG00015039234.1)". Lineage: Eukaryota; Metazoa; Chordata; Mammalia; Rodentia; Cricetidae. The record is from RNAcentral.